This 761-nucleotide ribosomal RNA is filed under the name uncultured Nitrososphaerota archaeon. RNAcentral's name for it is "bacterial SSU rRNA". It matches the Rfam family "Archaeal small subunit ribosomal RNA", at positions 164 to 922 of the family's 1478-position model. The record is from RNAcentral. Lineage: Archaea; Thermoproteati; Nitrososphaerota.
UAAAUGCCUGGAAAUUGGUUUAUUGUUAAAAAUGAUUCGUCGCCAUAGGAUGGGACUGCGGCCUAUCAGCUUGUUGGUGAGGUAAUGGCCCACCAAGGCGAUUACAGGUACGGGCUCUGAGAGGAGAAGCCCGGAGAUGGGUACUGAGACAAGGACCCAGGCCCUAUGGGGCGCAGCAGGCGAGAAAACUUUGCAAUGUGCGAGAGCACGACAAGGUUAGUCCGAGUGAUUUCUGCUAAAGAGAUCUUUUGCUAGUUAUAAAACCACUAGUGAAUAAGGGGUGGGCAAGUUCUGGUGUCAGCCGCCGCGGUAAAACCAGCACCUCAAGUGGUCAGGAUGAUUAUUGGGCCUAAAGCAUCCGUAGCCGGCUCUGUAAGUUUUCGGUUAAAUCUAUGCGCUCAACGUAUGGGCUGCCGAAAAUACUGUAGAGAUAGGGAGUGGGAGAGGUAGACGGUACUCGGUAGGAAGGGGUAAAAUCCUUUGAUCUAUCGAUGACCACCUGUGGCGAAGGCGGUCUACCAGAACACGUUCGACGGUGAGGGAUGAAAGCUGGGGGAGCAAACCGGAUUAGAUACCCGGGUAGUCCCAGCUGUAAACGAUGCAGACUCGAUGAUGCAUUGGCAUAUAGCCAGUGCAGUGUCGCAGGGAAGCCGUUAAGUCUGCCGCCUGGGAAGUACGUACGCAAGUAUGAAACUUAAAGGAAUUGGCGGGGGAGCACCACAAGGGGUGAAGCCUGCGGUUCAAUUGGAUUCAACGCCGGG